CUGCAGAUGAACCAAAACAUCGUCCUGAAAAAUGAUGCUUUGUUUUUUGCUUUUGCUUUCUUCUCUUGCUUGUGUGAGUUUUGGGAAUGUCAUCACACCAGUUGAAACUCAUAUGUUUGAGACAGAAGGAUACAUUUGUUCUUCAUACCACUGGGGCAGUUUUACAAAAAUCUAAAGUUUUGGAUCAAGAUCCUCGAUUCUCUGCUAAACUAAAUGAAAAGAAAACCCAUGUGUAUCUGGAGAUCUCCUCUGCU
Molecule: long non-coding RNA, 254 nt
Organism: Ctenopharyngodon idella (grass carp)
Lineage: Eukaryota; Metazoa; Chordata; Actinopteri; Cypriniformes; Xenocyprididae
Exons: 3
Source: RefSeq, a predicted model, not a curated record